This 459-nucleotide ribosomal RNA is filed under the name uncultured bacterium. RNAcentral's name for it is "partial 16S ribosomal RNA". It matches the Rfam family "Bacterial small subunit ribosomal RNA", at positions 338 to 795 of the family's 1533-position model. The record is from RNAcentral.
CCUACGGGAGGCAGCAGUGAGGAAUAUUGGUCAAUGGCCGGGAGGCUGAACCAGCCAAGUCGCGUGAGGGAAGACGGCCCUACGGGUUGUAAACCUCUUUUGUCAGGGAGCAAGGUGCAGGUCGGGACCUGCUGUGAGAGUACCUGAAGAAAAAGCAUCGGCUAACUCCGUGCCAGCAGCCGCGGUAAUACGGAGGAUGCGAGCGUUAUCCGGAUUUAUUGGGUUUAAAGGGUGGGCAGGCGGAGUCAAAAGUCAGCGGUAAAAUCGCGGGGCUCAACCCCGCUCCGCCGUUGAAACUGUGUGCCUUGAGUGCGCGAAGGGUAGGCGGAAUGCGUGGUGUAGCGGUGAAAUGCAUAGAUAUCACGCAGAACUCCGAUCGCGAAGGCAGCCUACCGGCGCGCAACUGACGCUCAUGCACGAAAGCGUGGGUAUCGAACAGGAUUAGAUACCCCAGUAGUC